This 305-nucleotide ribosomal RNA is filed under the name uncultured bacterium. RNAcentral's name for it is "partial 16S ribosomal RNA". It matches the Rfam family "Bacterial small subunit ribosomal RNA", at positions 338 to 659 of the family's 1533-position model. The record is from RNAcentral.
CCUACGGGGGGCAGCAGUGGGGAAUAUUGCACAAUGGGGGGAACCCUGAUGCAGCGACGCCGCGUGAGUGAAGAAGUAUUUCGGUACGUAAAGCUCUAUCAGCAGGGAAGAAAAAAGGACGGUACCUGAGUAAGAAGCCCCGGCUAACUACGUGCCAGCAGCCGCGGUAAUACGUAGGGGGCAAGCGUUAUCCGGAUUUACUGGGUUUAAAGGGUGCGUAGGCGGAUCGUUAAGUCAGUGGUCAAAUUGAGGGGCUCAACCCCUUCCCGCCAUUGAAACUGGCGCUCUUGAGUGGAAGAGAAGUA